UUUUUACAAUGGAGAGUUUGAUCCUGGCUCAGGAUGAACGCUAGCGGCAGGCCUAACACAUGCAAGUCGAGGGGCA
RNAcentral lists this ribosomal RNA (76 nucleotides) under Alistipes shahii. RNAcentral describes it as "partial 16S ribosomal RNA". It matches the Rfam family "Bacterial small subunit ribosomal RNA", at positions 1 to 71 of the family's 1533-position model. The record is from RNAcentral. Lineage: Bacteria; Pseudomonadati; Bacteroidota; Bacteroidia; Bacteroidales; Rikenellaceae.